Molecule: long non-coding RNA, 615 nt
Organism: Ornithorhynchus anatinus (platypus)
Lineage: Eukaryota; Metazoa; Chordata; Mammalia; Monotremata; Ornithorhynchidae
Exons: 2
Source: RefSeq, a predicted model, not a curated record
AUGGAAAGAACGCCCCCACCUGGCUUCCUCCAAUCAGCGGAAAGGUGACGUCACCGCCGCCUUUUAGACGUAGGUGCCGCCUCCGUCUUUGCCGGACGAGUGUCGGAACCAGAGGCGGGUGGAGGCCGAGGCUCAGGGAGCCGCCCCGGUCGGGUCUACCGGGGGACCCGGAGCAGCCAGAAAGAAGCCUCCAAACCAUCAGAACAGCUCAGUCUCAAAUUUCUGGAUAAUGAAGACACUUGCAAGGACCUCUGUGAAAACACCUCUUUAGUCCAACUGGAGCAAUCCCAAUACGAUCGUCAUCAGCAAAUGCCUGAGACAUUGUCCACCAGGUGACCAUCGAGACUGAAAAUGGGGCAGGAUAGGACCACCAAGACUGGUUUCCUGAUACAAACUAUAAGGCAUUAAAAUCACUUUCAGAAAAGAAACAAAGGCAUUGUCAGUGCCAUGAGCCGCUUCCUCCUCAUGACUAAAGGAUGGUUUCCAGGAGCCUCCAACAGCCUCCCAAUCUCCUUUUUCCCUGCUUUCCUUUCUUCUAUCUUCCCUCAUUUCUCUUUUCAUUUUUCCCCUUAACAAGGCAUUGCAUUUUUAAAUAAGAGCUAUUUGAAAUAAUGA